RNAcentral lists this ribosomal RNA (133 nucleotides) under Zachvatkinia oceanodromae. RNAcentral describes it as "partial 16S large subunit ribosomal RNA". Lineage: Eukaryota; Metazoa; Arthropoda; Arachnida; Sarcoptiformes; Avenzoariidae. The record is from RNAcentral.
AAUUUUCUAAGGUUAUAUUAUUUUUUAUUUUAAAUUUAUAUUUUUGUUGAAAAUAACAAAAAUUCCUCUAAGACUAAAAGACCCUAAAAUUUUUAUAAAUUUUUUUAUUUGAUUGGGGCAAUAUUUAAUUAAA